UACGUAGGGUGCGAGCGUUAAUCGGAAUUACUGGGCGUAAAGCGUGCGCAGGCGGCGCGUUAAGACAGGUGUGAAAGCCCCGAGCUUAACUUGGGAAUUGCGCUUGUGACUGGCGUGCUGGAGUGUGGCAGAGGGAGGUGGAAUUCCACGUGUAGCAGUGAAAUGCGUAGAGAUGUGGAGGAACACCGAUGGCGAAGGCAGCCUCCUGGGCCAGCACUGACGCCCAUGCACGAAAGCGUGGGGAGCAAACAGG
RNAcentral lists this ribosomal RNA (253 nucleotides) under uncultured bacterium. Its description in RNAcentral is "partial 16S ribosomal RNA". It matches the Rfam family "Bacterial small subunit ribosomal RNA", at positions 524 to 776 of the family's 1533-position model. The record is from RNAcentral.